RNAcentral lists this small nucleolar RNA (112 nucleotides) under Loxodonta africana (African savanna elephant). RNAcentral's name for it is "Small nucleolar RNA SNORA63 (ENSLAFG00000032942.1)". Lineage: Eukaryota; Metazoa; Chordata; Mammalia; Proboscidea; Elephantidae. The record is from RNAcentral.
UUUUACUGUAUAGCUGUGAAGUGCUACGUUGUCCUUCUCCCUGCUCAAAGCAAUGGUUUCCUAUAUCCUCUGUCUAGCUCGCUUCUGUAGUAACAUGCUUAGUCUCAAACAU